CCUACGGGAGGCUGCAGUGAGGAAUAUUGGUCAAUGGACGAGAGUCUGAACCAGCCAAGUCGCGUGAAGGAUGACUGCCCUAUGGUUUGUAAACUUCUUUUAUAUGGGAAUAAAACGUUCCACGUGUGGGAUUUUGUAUGUACCAUAUGAAUAAGGAUCGGCUAACUCCGUGCCAGCAGCCGCGGUAAUACGGAGGAUCCGAGCGUUAUCCGGAUUUAUUGGGUUUAAAGGGUGCGCAGGCGGAGGCACAAGUCAGCGGUAAAAGCGCGGGGCUCAACCCCGCUCCGCCGUUGAAACUGUGUCCCUUGAGUGCGCGAAGGGUAGGCGGAAUGCGUGGUGUAGCGGUGAAAUGCAUAGAUAUCACGCAGAACCCCGAUCGCGAAGGCAGCCUACCGGCGCGUAACUGACGCUCAUGCACGAAAGCGUGGGUAUCGAACAGGAUUAGAUACCCUAGUAGUC
RNAcentral lists this ribosomal RNA (459 nucleotides) under uncultured bacterium. RNAcentral describes it as "partial 16S ribosomal RNA". It matches the Rfam family "Bacterial small subunit ribosomal RNA", at positions 338 to 795 of the family's 1533-position model. The record is from RNAcentral.